Molecule: transfer RNA, 75 nt
Organism: Haloquadratum sp. J07HQX50
Lineage: Archaea; Methanobacteriati; Methanobacteriota; Halobacteria; Halobacteriales; Haloferacaceae
Rfam family: tRNA
About the family: Transfer RNA (tRNA) molecules are approximately 80 nucleotides in length. Their secondary structure includes four short double-helical elements and three loops (D, anti-codon, and T loops).
Source: Rfam
GGGCUGCUGGUCUAGUCCGGUUAUGACAGCUCCUUCACACGGAGCAGGUCGAUGGUUCAAAUCCAUCGCAGCCCA